GCUAGCCAUUUGCUCAAGAAACUGCUCUUCCUGGGCUUUGAGAUGAACUGGACAUACACGAACCAGAAAGAAAUGACUGCUGAAAUUACCUAAAGUUCCCUCUCUGGACACUCCAGUAUUUGAGAUGAAGCAAGACUCUGGUCAGGAGGGAUAUUUACUUUGAGUUGAUACCUAGAUGGAUCCUAUUGAUGACCCUGGGAAUGGCAGUGAACUAGAAACAUGAAGGGGACUCAGAGAGAGACGAGAAUAUAUAAUGAUGCCUCCAUGUAUGACGUUAUAAGAAAGCAAUCAUUCGUGCUGGGAAAAGACAUUCUGCUGCAGUAUUUGGUCGAAAGUACACCCUGCAGUAAUUCUUGUGUCAUCUAUGUGGUGUCUGGGAAGCCAGGAAAUGAAUGAGCAGACUCCAUCAACAGAAUGGCAGCCAAAGCAUCUGACUGUGCUGUUCAGUAAGGUUCCUGUUCAAGCAGUAAAGCCCUGAUUUCUCUCUGCAUCUCAAGAUAUUGACACUGAUGGAGACCUCUUCCCUGAAUUUAUGAGCUUUUAAAUUGGAAAGCAGCUUGGUCACAGCAUCCCUGAGUACUGGCUUCUCCUCUCUCCACCUUUCAAAUGGUGGAAGUUAUUUAUUCUCUGGAAGAAAGAGUGGGGCAGAGCUGGACUCACUGGACUUUCCCUGGGGCUGAAUGAGAUGACACACGAACUCAUCAUCCUGCUGAGGAUGAUCUCAGACUCUGGCACUAUGGAUUUCCUUCUUUGCCUUCUCCUGAGAAGCUUUUGAUGAAGACACAGAGCACAUACAUUACAUGG
Long non-coding RNA from Microtus oregoni (creeping vole), 804 nucleotides. RefSeq lists it as uncharacterized. The transcript has 8 exons. Lineage: Eukaryota; Metazoa; Chordata; Mammalia; Rodentia; Cricetidae. The record is from RefSeq and is a predicted model, not a curated record.